This 1032-nucleotide long non-coding RNA is filed under the name Pogona vitticeps (central bearded dragon). RNAcentral describes it as "lncRNA (ENSPVIG00000017438.1)". Lineage: Eukaryota; Metazoa; Chordata; Lepidosauria; Squamata; Agamidae. The record is from RNAcentral.
CUUUCUCCAUGUUCUCUAUUCUGUCUGUCUGUCUCUCUUAUCUAUCUGUGUGUCUGUCUGUUUGUCUAUCAAUUCUUUCAGUGUGAGGAUUUGCAGAUCAAAAGCCACUUCUGUGUAUGAAGCAAAGGACUACUUAUGAUGAGGGUGGCACAGUGAUCAAAUAGAUGACUUCACUCAGCAAUCCAUCAUGUGCCAAGCAGAGACAUCUACUAUUGCCUCUGGGACAUUCUGGCCUUUGCCAUAGAGAUGAAAGAAAGAAAGAAAGAAAGAAAGAAAGAAAGAAAGAAAGAAAGAAAGAAAGAAAGAAAGAAAGAAAGAAAGAAAGAAAGAAAGAAAGAGGGAGUAGAAGCACAGAUACUGUUGUGUUCCAAAGGAUGAGUCACUACUUUGCAAUAAGUCUGAGAUGCUUAUUUAUUGCUCUUUUUUUUGGCUGAUAUGAAGCCGAGCUUCAUUUCUCAGCAGGAGUAACAGCGAGCAACUCUUCCCCCUCCCCCCCUACACCGACCAUUAAUCAUUGCAAGCCUGUUCCCAAGUGUACACAGAGUGGGAGUUGUGCCUACCAGUGGCCUUUAGCUGCCUCCAGUUCCAUGAAAUCACCGAGUGCAGCAACUCCUUUUACGAGAGCUGGGUUUAUUUGUAACUGAACAACUUCCUCCACUAUUUGAUAAGCUCAAAUAUUUGCUACUGAUAGUCAGAGAGUGUCACUUUUAUUAUCCCUAGGUCGCAUGCAUGCAUGCAGGGAGGCCAGAAGACCUGGUCUGAGUCCUCUUCUGCAACAGAACAUGAUUAACUCCUUGUAAGGUGGCAGCACAAAUGUUGGAACAGCAAGCUAAGGAUUCAUGUCCUCGGUUUUUAUACUUCAGAUUGGAACUCUGGAACUGGGACUCUUUGUAUUGGGAAGGAUUUGGAAGCUAAACAGCAGUUUGGGGUUGUUCCCCCACCUCCAGCAGAAGGCCUUCUCUGCCCCCUAGCUUCCUCCCUUCUGCUGAUAUCCUGAAAAUAAAUGACAAACUAAAGGACGGAAAUGCUUCA